Molecule: ribosomal RNA, 768 nt
Filed under: Sceloporus magister (desert spiny lizard)
Lineage: Eukaryota; Metazoa; Chordata; Lepidosauria; Squamata; Phrynosomatidae
Description: partial 12S ribosomal RNA
Rfam family: Bacterial small subunit ribosomal RNA
Source: RNAcentral
UCCUCAUUCCAGUGAAAAAUGCCCUAGAACAGUAAAAAUGGAGCAGGUAUCAGGCACAACUAAUAGCCCAAGACACCAAGCUUUGCCACACCCACACGGGCCAUCAGCAGUGAUAAACAUUAAGCAAUAAGCGAACACACCCAACCUACUUUUAAAGCUUGACUUAGUUAUGAUUUAAUAGGGCCGGUAAACCUCGUGCCAGCCACCGCGGUUAUACGAGGGGCCCAAAGAAGCAGACACUCGGCGUAAAUAGUGGUUAGAAUCAUGCCAAACACUAAAAAUUAAACCAUAUCCUAACCGUAAAACAAAGGAUAGAUGAAACCAAACAUUUUUAAAAACAGGCAAUUUGACCCACGAAAACUAAGAAACAAACUAGGAUUAGAUACCCUACUAUGCUUAGUCGUUAAUAAGAUAUUACUCUACUAAAAUAUCCGCCAGAAAACUACGAGCGAAAAGCUUAAAACUCAAAGGACUUGGCGGUGCUCCAUACCGACUUAGAGGAGCCUGUCCUAUAAUCGAUACUCCACGAUAAACCUUACCAGUCUUUGCCCAAUCAGCCUAUAUACCGCCGUCACCAACCUACCUCAUGAGAGAAAAAUAGUAGGUGUAAAAGCCCAACAGCUAAAACGUCAGGUCAAGGUGUAGCUAAUAGACUGGAAGAGAUGGGCUACAUUUUUUAAUAUAAAAUAUAACGGCACGGUACAAUGAAAUUUCUACCCAAAGGAGGAUUUAAUAGUAAAAUUAACAAGAAAGUUAAUUUUAAACACG